This 364-nucleotide long non-coding RNA is filed under the name Medicago truncatula (barrel medic). RNAcentral's name for it is "long non-coding RNA (MTRU_LNC000368)". The record is from RNAcentral. Lineage: Eukaryota; Viridiplantae; Streptophyta; Magnoliopsida; Fabales; Fabaceae.
UUUUUUUUCAUCAUUUUGCGAAAACGGAGUUCCGGUGAUGAAGACAGCGCCGGUGAUGAAGACAAACACAACAACGGUUUCCAGCGAGGUUUUGAGCGUUUGGUUUCGGUUUCCGACUGAUGAAGGCAAACACAGUGACGGUUUCCGGCGAGGUUGUGAGCGUUUGGUUUCGGUGACGGUUAUGGCGAAGGAUGAAAAUGCGAAGGAUGAUGAUGAUGUUGAUGAAAAACGACGGUGGUGAUGAUGAUGGUGAAUGACGGUGGUGUUGAUUUGGUGAACGACGGUGUUGUUGAUGGUGAACGACGGUGACGGAAGAUUGAUGAUGAACGACGGUGGUGGGAGUUUGCUACAGGUGAUGCGCGUU